GCUAAUACCGCAUAAGACCACGUCAUCGCAUGGUGAUGAGGUAAAAGGAGCGAUCCGGUUUGGGGUGAGUUCGCGUCUGAUUAGCUAGUUGGUGGGGUAACGGCCCACCAAGGCGACGAUCAGUAGCCGGCCUGAGAGGGCGAACGGCCACACUGGGACUGAGACACGGCCCAGACUCCUACGGGAGGCAGCAGUGGGGAAUAUUGGGCAAUGGGGGAAGCCCUGACCCAGCAACGCCGGCGUGAGGGAAGAAGGUUUUCGGAUUGUAAACCUCUGUCCUUGGUGAAGAAGGAAUGGACGGUAAGCCAAAGAGGGAAGCCCCCGGCCAAUUACGGUGCCAGCAGCCGCGGUAAUACGUAGGGGGCGAGCGUUGUCCGGAAUGACUGGGCGUAAAGGGCGCGUAGNCGGCAAUAUAAGUCUGGAGUGAAAGUCCCUUUUUCAAGGAAGGGAUUUGCUUUGGAAACUGUAUAGCUUGAGUGCGGAAGAGGUAAGUGGAAUUCCCAGUGUAGCGGUGAAAUGCGUAGAGA
RNAcentral lists this ribosomal RNA (527 nucleotides) under uncultured bacterium. RNAcentral describes it as "bacterial SSU rRNA". It matches the Rfam family "Bacterial small subunit ribosomal RNA", at positions 162 to 696 of the family's 1533-position model. The record is from RNAcentral.